GACGAACGCUUGGCGGCGCGCCUAACACAUGCAAGUCGAACGAGCGAGAGAGAGCUUGCUUUCUCGAGCGAGUGGCGAACGGGUGAGUAACGCGUGAGGAACCUGCCUCAAAGAGGGGGACAACAGUUGGAAACGACUGCUAAUACCGCAUAAGCCCAUGGCUCGGCAUCGAGCAGAGGGAAAAGGAGCAAUCCGCUUUGAGAUGGCCUCGCGUCCGAUUAGCUAGUUGGCGAGGUAAUGGCCCACCAAGGCAACGAUCGGUAGCCGGACUGAGAGGUUGAACGGCCACAUUGGGACUGAGACACGGCCCAGACUCCUACGGGAGGCAGCAGUGGGGAAUAUUGCACAAUGGGGGAAACCCUGAUGCAGCGACGCCGCGUGGAGGAAGAAGGUCUUCGGAUUGUAAACUCCUGUUGUUGGGGAAGAUAAUGACGGUACUCAACAAGGAAGUGACGGCUAACUACGUGCCAGCAGCCGCGGUAAAACGUAGGUCACAAGCGUUGUCCGGAAUUACUGGGUGUAAAGGGAGCGCAGGCGGGAAGACAAGUUGGAAGUGAAAUCUAUGGGCUCAACCCAUAAACUGCUUUCAAAACUGUUUUUCUUGAGUAGUGCAGAGGUAGGCGGAAUUCCCGGUGUAGCGGUGGAAUGCGUAGAUAUCGGGAGGAACACCAGUGGCGAAGGCGGCCUACUGGGCACCAACUGACGCUGAGGCUCGAAAGUGUGGGUAGCAAACAGGAUUAGAUACCCUGGUAGUCCACACCGUAAACGAUGAUUACUAGGUGUUGGAGGAUUGACCCCUUCAGUGCCGCAGUUAACACAAUAAGUAAUCCACCUGGGGAGUACGACCGCAAGGUUGAAACUCAAAGGAAUUGACGGGGGCCCGCACAAGCAGUGGAGUAUGUGGUUUAAUUCGACGCAACGCGAAGAACCUUACCAAGUCUUGACAUCCUGCGACGGACAUAGAAAUAUGUCUUUCCUUCGGGACGCAGAGACAGGUGGUGCAUGGUUGUCGUCAGCUCGUGUCGUGAGAUGUUGGGUUAAGUCCCGCAACGAGCGCAACCCUUACUGUCAGUUACUACGCAAGAGGGCUCUGGCAGGACUGCCGUUGACAAAACGGAGGAAGGUGGGGAUGACGUCAAAUCAUCAUGCCCUUUAUGACUUGGGCUACACACGUACUACAAUGGCGUUAAACAAAGAGAAGCAAGACCGCGAGGUGGAGCAAAACUCAGAAACAACGUCCCAGUUCGGACUGCAGGCUGCAACUCGCCUGCACGAAGUCGGAAUUGCUAGUAAUCGUGGAUCAGCAUGCCACGGUGAAUACGUUCCCGGGCCU
RNAcentral lists this ribosomal RNA (1333 nucleotides) under uncultured bacterium. Its description in RNAcentral is "bacterial SSU rRNA". It matches the Rfam family "Bacterial small subunit ribosomal RNA", at positions 28 to 1381 of the family's 1533-position model. The record is from RNAcentral.